Molecule: long non-coding RNA, 259 nt
Filed under: Rattus norvegicus (Norway rat)
Lineage: Eukaryota; Metazoa; Chordata; Mammalia; Rodentia; Muridae
Description: long non-coding RNA NONRATT015561
Source: RNAcentral
GUGCCUCUGCCCACGUUGGUCCACAGGCUGCUGCUCCAUUCCUCUCCACCUGAGAGACCACCUUCCUCCUAGUCAUAGUCUCUAGGAUGCUCCAGACCUUGUAUGACUACUUCUGGUGGGAACGACUAUGGCUGCCUGUGAACUUAACCUGGGCUGAUCUAGAAGACAAAGAUGGACGUGUCUAUGCCAAAGCCUCAGACCUCUACAUCACACUACCCCUGGCCCUGCUCUUUCUCAUCAUUCGAUACUUCUUUGAGCU